RNAcentral lists this ribosomal RNA (420 nucleotides) under bacterium. Its description in RNAcentral is "partial 16S ribosomal RNA". It matches the Rfam family "Bacterial small subunit ribosomal RNA", at positions 355 to 776 of the family's 1533-position model. The record is from RNAcentral.
UGGGGGAUAUUGCACAAUGGGCGAAAGCCUGAUGCAGCGACGCCGCGUGGGGGAUGAAGGCUUUCGGGUUGUAAACCUCUUUCGCUAUCGAACAAGGCCCGCUUAGGGUGGGUUGAGGGUAGGUGGAGAAGAAGCGCCGGCUAACUACGUGUCAGCAGCCGCGGUAAUACGUAGGGCGCGAGCGUUGUCCGGAAUUAUUGGGCGUAAAGGGCUUGUAGGCGGCUUGUUGCGCCUGCUGUGAAAACGCGGGGCUUAACUUCGCGCGUGCAGUGGGUACGGGCAGGCUUGAGUGUGGUAGGGGUGACUGGAAUUCCAGGUGUAGCGCUGGAAUGCGCAGAUAUCUGGAGGAACACCGAUGGCGAAGGCAGGUCACUGGGCCAUUACUGACGCUGAGGAGCGAAAGCAUGGGUAGCGAACAGG